RNAcentral lists this ribosomal RNA (253 nucleotides) under uncultured bacterium. Its description in RNAcentral is "partial 16S ribosomal RNA". It matches the Rfam family "Bacterial small subunit ribosomal RNA", at positions 524 to 776 of the family's 1533-position model. The record is from RNAcentral.
UACGGGGGGGGCAAGCGUUGUUCGGAAUUACUGGGCGUAAAGGGCUCGUAGGCGGCCAACUAAGUCGGAUGUGAAAUCCCCAAGCUUAACUUGGGAACUGCAUCCGAUACUGGAUGGCUUGAAUCCGGGAGAGGGAUGCAGAAUUCCAGGUGUAGCGGUGAAAUGCGUAGAUAUCUGGAGGAACACCGGUGGCGAAGGCGGUUCUCUGGGCAUUACCUGACGCUGAGGAGCGAAAGUGUGGGGAGCGAACAGG